GACGAACGCUGGCGGCGUGCUUAACACAUGCAAGUCGAACGGAAAGGCCCUGCUUUUGUGGGGUGCUCGAGUGGCGAACGUGUGAGUUACACGCGCGUAACCCGGCCCUGGCUUUGGGAUAACUUCAGGAAACUGGUGCUAAUACUGCAUAGGAGCUCCUGCUGCAUGGUGGGGGAUGGAAAGUUUCGGCGGUUGGGGAUGGACUCGCGGCUUAUCAGCUUGUUGGUGGGGUAGUGGCUUACCAAGGCUUUGACGGGUAGCCGGCCUGAGAGGGUGACCGGCCACAUUGGGACUGAGAUACGGCCCAGACUCCUACGGGAGGCAGCAGUGGGGAAUAUUGCACAAUGGGCGGAAGCCUGAUGCAGCAACGCCGCGUGCGGGAUGACGGCCUUCGGGUUGUAAACCGCUUUCGCCAGUGACGAAGCGUGAGUGACGGUAAUGGGUAAAGAAGCACCGGCUAACUACGUG
This 468-nucleotide ribosomal RNA is filed under the name uncultured bacterium. RNAcentral's name for it is "partial 16S ribosomal RNA". It matches the Rfam family "Bacterial small subunit ribosomal RNA", at positions 28 to 507 of the family's 1533-position model. The record is from RNAcentral.